This 75-nucleotide transfer RNA is filed under the name Caudoviricetes sp. RNAcentral's name for it is "tRNA-Met". It matches the Rfam family "tRNA". Rfam says of the family: Transfer RNA (tRNA) molecules are approximately 80 nucleotides in length. Their secondary structure includes four short double-helical elements and three loops (D, anti-codon, and T loops). Lineage: Duplodnaviria; Heunggongvirae; Uroviricota; Caudoviricetes. The record is from RNAcentral.
GCGUCAUUAAUCUCAACUGGCUAGAGUAUUCGGUUCAUACCCGAAAGGCUUGAGGUUCGAGUCCUCAAUGACGCA